CACCUAUUCUGAGCGGCCGAAAGACCCGGCUUAACGACGCCGCAGCAACCCACUCCGCCCCGCCUCUUUGGGGACGGGAAGGGUGCUAACGCCGGGUUCGAUGGGAA
RNAcentral lists this non-coding RNA (107 nucleotides) under Corynebacterium otitidis. RNAcentral describes it as "Turicella otitidis SAM-I sequence". It matches the Rfam family "SAM riboswitch aptamer (S box leader)". From Rfam's summary of the family: The SAM riboswitch is found upstream of a number of genes which code for proteins involved in methionine or cysteine biosynthesis in Gram-positive bacteria. The SAM riboswitch acts at the level of transcription termination control. The record is from RNAcentral. Lineage: Bacteria; Bacillati; Actinomycetota; Actinomycetes; Mycobacteriales; Corynebacteriaceae. RNAcentral also lists the same sequence under 1 other name.